Molecule: transfer RNA, 69 nt
Filed under: Marmota monax (woodchuck)
Lineage: Eukaryota; Metazoa; Chordata; Mammalia; Rodentia; Sciuridae
Rfam family: tRNA
About the family: Transfer RNA (tRNA) molecules are approximately 80 nucleotides in length. Their secondary structure includes four short double-helical elements and three loops (D, anti-codon, and T loops).
Source: Rfam by way of RNAcentral
GGUAUAGCUCAGUGGUAGAGCACAUGCUUAGCAUGCAUGAGGCACUGAGUUCCAUCCACAGCACUACCA